AUGUUACAAGGGGAUAAUUUCAAGUUACAUCAAUACCAUAAAUUGUUCCUUUUACACUUAAAAGUACUACGAGAAAAGUUACAUGUUUCUAAGCCUAAUCCUAAUAUCCUAAACAUCUUUAGUGCAACCCAAAACCUGCUGACUAUUUCAGUACAAAAACAGAGUUUGCUGCCAAAUACUACAAAAUCAUGCUAA
Vicia faba (fava bean) is the source of this 195-nucleotide non-coding RNA. The record is from the annotation of a GenBank genome assembly. NCBI's taxonomy places the organism in Eukaryota, Viridiplantae, Streptophyta, Magnoliopsida, Fabales, Fabaceae.